GGGGCUGGGCGGGCGCG
This 17-nucleotide microRNA is filed under the name Corchorus olitorius. RNAcentral describes it as "hsa-miR-44". The record is from RNAcentral. Lineage: Eukaryota; Viridiplantae; Streptophyta; Magnoliopsida; Malvales; Malvaceae.